CUACGGGGGGCUGCAGUGGGGAAUAUUGCACAAUGGGCGCAAGCCUGAUGCAGCCAUGCCGCGUGUAUGAAGAAGGCCUUCGGGUUGUAAAGUACUUUCAGCGGGGAGGAAGGGAGUAAAGUUAAUACCUUUGCUCAUUGACGUUACCCGCAGAAGAAGCACCGGCUAACUCCGUGCCAGCAGCCGCGGUAAUACGGAGGGUGCAAGCGUUAAUCGGAAUUACUGGGCGUAAAGCGCACGCAGGCGGUUUGUUAAGUCAGAUGUGAGAUCCCCGGGCUCAACCUGGGAACUGCAUCUGAUACUGGCAAGCUCGAGUCUCGUAGAGGGGGGUAGAAUUCCAGGUGUAGCGGUGAAAUGCGUAGAGAUCUGGAGGAAUACCGGUGGCGAAGGCGGCCCCCUGGACGAAGACUGACGCUCAGGUGCGAAAGCGUGGGGAGCAAACAGGAUUAGAUACCCGCGUAGUC
RNAcentral lists this ribosomal RNA (464 nucleotides) under uncultured bacterium. RNAcentral's name for it is "partial 16S ribosomal RNA". It matches the Rfam family "Bacterial small subunit ribosomal RNA", at positions 339 to 795 of the family's 1533-position model. The record is from RNAcentral.